UGCCCAGCAACUCCUAUCGCUACCUCCUCGCGGUACCGGCCGGAAACUAUGAGCAAUCUUAGGAAAGAUCGGGUAACCAACCCCGGUGGGAACUUUGGUCGUAGGCUGACAGGGAAGG
Molecule: non-coding RNA, 118 nt
Organism: Aedes albopictus (Asian tiger mosquito)
Lineage: Eukaryota; Metazoa; Arthropoda; Insecta; Diptera; Culicidae
Source: Rfam